Long non-coding RNA from Stegostoma tigrinum, 3147 nucleotides. RefSeq lists it as uncharacterized. The transcript has 4 exons. NCBI's taxonomy places the organism in Eukaryota, Metazoa, Chordata, Chondrichthyes, Orectolobiformes, Stegostomatidae. The record is from RefSeq and is a predicted model, not a curated record.
UUUCCGCCGGAUGGAUCCAGUCGCUGUGUCACUAGAAAACACGAAGUGAGCCAGUCCUGUUCGUCAUCGUCUUACUAGACUCCUCCUCCUGUGACAGAGUCGGGGAAAGGGUCCGGUACCUGCCCGCCAGGUACUGCUCGAUCCCAGGGUCUGUCUCGUACAGAGGCUCUUGUGUCAGCGGGCUGCGGCAGUCUAAUGGCUACACUGCGUACCAGAGAGCUAAUGUAAACAGUUGUGAGAUUCACAGAGGAAGGAGAUACUGUCAAAUUAAACGCUGUGAAGUAUUGCAACUCAUCCUGCUUUUAAUACUGACUGCGGCUAUAAGGACCUGGUACUAGAAGGACAGCACAUUGCAAUGGCAUUGUCUUCCACCAGACGAGUGUGAUUUCAUAAACUGCAAGACUGAAUAGUCAUUGAACACCAAGACUGGAUAACUGCUAGAAGAGAAUUUAUACCUUAUCCUACACUAUUUUGUGAAGUCGGCUGUCACAUUUUUGACAUGAUAACUAAUUACAUUUCAAAAUCAUACUUCUCUUGUUUGAGAGAUGCUUUGUGAAGAAACUGAUGUACAAUCGUUGCAGUUGGCACUCCAGUAUGCUAGAAUUCAAACCAGGCAUCAUAGAUGAAUGAAAACAAACAGUUUUGCAACUGGUAUCCUCUUCUACAUAUCCUGUUAUAAGUCACCAGACAUCUUGACUUCUGCUUAACUUCAAUGACUAGACCAGAUCAUAAUGGUUUAUUUUAAACAACUAGAGAUUACUUGAUCAGAGAAUUUCAAAUUUUCAAAACUGGGGCAAAUGUCACAUUAAAAACAAAAUAUGUGAGGAGGGAUAUAAUGAUAGAAUAAUAUGAAUUAAGAUGGGAUGAGUUUCCUGCAGACAUUGACAAGGACUUGUGCCAUGCAAGCUAUGCUGUAAAUUCAAUGUCAUUCUAUGUGGACUGUUAGCAUCUGAAAGCUGAGUAAGUGAAUGCAGUGUGGUGUUGAUACCUGCAAGGGCAUUAUAAAAUGGUGGUAUUUUUAACUGCAAAUUUUAUUAUUGGCAAGAUCAGUCGACAAAGGGCAAAAGAAUGGUUAUUGUGCAACAAGUUACAAUCUGGAAUGUACUGACUAAAAUUGUGGUGGAAGCAGAUCCAGUAGUAACUUUCAAAAAGGAAUUUCGUAAACACAUGCGCACAGGUAAGUACACAUACAUAGUUGAAAAGGAAGGAAUUAUAGAGCUACGAGGAAACAGAUGAGUGGACAAUUUGGUUAGUUCUUUCAAAGAUGUAUAGUGUCACAAUUUCAGUUCAAAAUCAGAUUGUAGAAAGUCAGACUUGAUGGUUGAGAAGAAUAUUUCCUCCUGCUUCUUAAAAAGCAGAUUUUGAAAUUGAUAUUUAAUGUAACAUGAAUGAGAAAAAUACCUCUAACACAUGAAAGGUGAAAUAAAAACCAAAAAUGCUGGAAACAUUGCAGAAUGAGAAAAGUAGGUUAACACUGCCCUUUUGUCAGAUUCAGCAAGUGUUAUAAGAGAGUUCUUGAAUCAGGCAUUAGGACCAGCAUCAAGGCUAUGAUCACCCAAAACCAGCCUUCCUUGCUGUGCUGGCUACAUGCUUAGAAUUGCUGAGUUCCAAAUGGCAAAGCAUAUCAUCUUCGGCCAGCUUGAGGACAGCACCCAAACAAGUUGAGGACAAUGGAACGCUUCCCUCAAGAAAUGCGACAUAGAUGACAACAUUUGGGAGACCCUCAUUCAGAAGAAACCAAUUUGGAGGAAGCUUGAGUCUGAAGGGACACAAUUCUUUGAGAAUAUCUGUCAGUUAGAGAAAGUAUGGAAAAGGAACCGGAGAAAGGAAUGGCAACAAUCUCAAGACUGAGUACCAAUUCCACCUCAUGGAAAUACUGUGAGAUUGGAGAUCUGGCUCUAGGUUUGGGCUCACCAGCUAAACACGGACUCAUAGAACCCAUGACCAGUGACAUGGAAUUUCCCAUUUGGAUUCAUACUCAUUAGCGAGUGAUUGCCAACUACGACAACGAAGACAAAAUUAAGGGGAACAAAACCAAAGGUAAGGGAGAUUAGGUAUUCAAAAACAAGUGCAUUGAAGGCUAGUAAUAUGCUUACAUAUCUGGAGUGCGUUGUCUUCUAUCACCCUCUAGAUUCACUGAAGCCAUCGAGACCUUGCCUGAUUUCUGAUGCUUUUCCCUCCCUGCUCUCUGGACAUUGGAUGUAGAUUUUAUUUCUCUGUGUCACUCCAUGCAUGCUUCCACACUUGCUGAACAUUUUCCAGCAUUUUAUGUCCUUAUUUUGGAUUUCCAGCAUAUGCAUUAUUUUGAUUUUGAUUUGCUUCCUGAAUUUCUCUCACUGCUUCCCUAAUUUUGCAUCUUUAUCACUACUAUCAUUUCAUUUUUUUGACCUGUUCACAAACUUUUUUCUGUCCCAGUCUCUUUUAUCUUGGGCCUGUUUCACUUUGUAUGUUAGUCUAUAACGUCUGCUGGUUCUAAUGGAGAACCACUGGCCUGAAAUGUUAAUUUUACAUUCCUGCUUCUAUAUCGGCUGUGAACUUCUUCAGCUCUACUUCUGUUCUUACUUCAAAACGACUGUUAUUUAGUAAAAUCAAUAGCAAACUUUCUUUUGUAAAAGAGUAUUUUAUAAAUUUAUACUUUUGAUAUGGAGACUUUCAUAGCUAGAAUGGAAAAGAUGGCUUUUUUCAUGCAUUGGUGCAUUUUAGUCUAUGUUCACAGAUGUAAUUGGAAAUUAAAGGUAUUGCCCGAACCAAUCUAUACUGAAGACUGGAGAUGAGGAAAGGCAGUUCCCAACCUCAAACGAGUAAGAUUUUCAAGCUGGAACGAACAAUAACAAUUUAGGUUUUUAUAAACAAAGAACACAGCAAACCACAUAAGGUGCUAUUAGUGAAUGCAUCCAAAGGCCUAAACAAAGAGGUAUGUUUCAAGGAGUGUCUUAAAGGAGGAAGGUGAGAGCAAGAGGCAGAAAGAUGUACAGAAGGUAUUCCAGAGUUUAGGAAGGGAAUUCCAAAGUUGAGGGCCUAGGCAACUGGAAACACCGUCAUUGUGAUGAUAAAUGGGGAUGCUCAAGAGGCCAGAAAUAGAGUACACAGAUAGCUCGGAGGAUUAGAGAACUGUGUUAUGAUCACAGCUGAUGUACUAUCCAACAA